Molecule: ribosomal RNA, 528 nt
Filed under: uncultured Bacteroidota bacterium
Lineage: Bacteria; Pseudomonadati; Bacteroidota
Description: SSU rRNA
Rfam family: Bacterial small subunit ribosomal RNA
Source: RNAcentral
AGAGUUUGAUCCUGGCUCAGGACGAACGCUGGCGGCGGGCUUCAUACAUGCAAGUCGAACGAGAAAGCAUCCUUCGGGGUGCAAGUACAGUGGCGCACGGGUGAGUAACGCGUAGGCAACCUACCCUCGAGUGGGGAAUAACCAUCGGAAACGGUGGCUAAUACCGCAUGCUGUCGUGCAUCGCAUGGUGCACGAUGAAAGUCUUCGGAUGCUCGGGGAUGGGCCUGCGUCGGAUUAGUUUGUAGGUAGGGUAACGGCCUACCUAGGCAACGAUCCGUAGCUGGUCUGAGAGGACGAUCAGCCACACGGGCACUGAGACACGGGCCAGACUUCUACGGAAGGCAGCAGUAGGGAAUAUUGGGCAAUGGGCGCAAGCCUGACCCAGCCACGCCGCGUGGAGGAAGACACCCCUAUGGGGCGUAAACUCCUUUUAUACGGGAAGAACCCCUCCCUCAGGGAGCCUGACGGUACCGUAUGAAUAAGCACCGGCUAACUCCGUGCCAGCAGCCGCGGUAAUACGGAGGGUGC